Molecule: ribosomal RNA, 447 nt
Filed under: uncultured bacterium
Lineage: Bacteria
Description: bacterial SSU rRNA
Rfam family: Bacterial small subunit ribosomal RNA
Source: RNAcentral
CCCAGACUCCUACGGGAGGCAGCAGUGGGGGAUAUUGCACAAUGGGGGGAACCCUGAUGCAGCGACGCCGCGUGGGUGAAGGAGCGUUUCGGCGCGUAAAGCCCUAUCGGCAGGGAAGAAGGAGGACGGUACCUGACUAAGAAGCCCCGGCUAACUACGUGCCAGCAGCCGCGGUAAUACGUAGGGGGCAAGCGUUAUCCGGAUUUACUGGGUGUAAAGGGGGCGCAGACGGCAGCGCAAGCCAGGAGUGAAAGCCCGGGGCCCAACCCCGGGACUGCUCUUGGAACUGCGCGGCUGGAGUGCAGGAGGGGCAGGCGGAAUUCCUGGUGUAGCGGUGAAAUGCGUAGAUAUCAGGAGGAACACCGGCGGCGAAGGCGGCCUGCUGGACCGUGACUGACGUUGAGGCUCGAGGGCGUGGGGAGCAAACAGGAUUAGAUACCCUGGUAC